UACGUAGGGACCAAGCGUUGUUCGGAUUUACUGGGCGUAAAGGGCGCGUAGGCGGCGUGUCAAGUCAAUUGUGAAAUCUCCGGGCUUAACUCGGAACGGUCAAUUGAUACUGAUGUGCUAGAGUGCAGAAGGGGCAAUCGGAAUUCUUGGUGUAGCGGUGAAAUGCGUAGAUAUCAAGAGGAACACCUGAGGUGAAGACGGGUUGCUGGGCUGACACUGACGCUGAGGCGCGAAAGCUAGGUAGCAAACGGG
RNAcentral lists this ribosomal RNA (252 nucleotides) under uncultured bacterium. RNAcentral's name for it is "partial 16S ribosomal RNA". It matches the Rfam family "Bacterial small subunit ribosomal RNA", at positions 524 to 776 of the family's 1533-position model. The record is from RNAcentral.